AUCAGACAAACUAAAUUACCUAAAGAAGACAAAUGAAAAGCCGUCACUAGUAUCCAAUACUUCCUAGAUACACAUAUCAUACAUAAGAAUCAGAAAACAUAGAACUAAUAUAUGUAAUUCUCGAAAAAGAUAAAACUCAAAAAAAACCAAAUAGUUACAAGAAUACAUUGAACCAUUAAUCAAAAAAAAAACAAAUCUAAUCCUUUCCACAACAUAAAUUUCUACAAAUAAACUGCAGGCAGUCAUGGCCACUUGCUCGAAUAUCACAAUAUAUAUAUACAAAAGGAAAAGCAGAGAAAUUUACCUUGACGGAAAUCUUGCGGUCACUCUGGGCCCUCUUAAACUUCUUGACACGCUUUUUAACGAUCUUCUUCGCAAGCAACGGAACCGCCAUUUCUUCGCCAUGAAAAACAACAAAGAUAAUAAGAAAAAUCUGGAUUUUCAAAACAACGGCAGAGGGGGAAAAAUUAAAGAAAUAAUACAGCAAAACCCUACAUCCAUAACAAUAAAAAUUCCAAAACACUGAAGGAAAAAACAUCCAUAAAUCAGAGAGUUUCGAAAAAAAUAUUAACAGGCGUAUGAGAUCAAUUCCAAGCCAUCGUUCGCAAAUUCCAGCUGAAAUGAUAUCGGGAUUCGAAACGCGAAGCAAAAGAGACGAAGAAAGAAGAAGAGAAUACCUUCAGAUCGAGGCGGGAACCCUGACCCAAGAAAAGAGAGAGACGAUACGAGAGGGUUGCAGCGUCGGCGGCGACUCCUAACGGAAUAUAAUGGGCGGCGGAAAAGUUAGGGUUUUCGGUGCGUGCGCGGGGGAGUGGCGGGGCGCGCUGCAAUUAGGAUUGGGCUCGACCCGAUUCCGAACUGCCUAAUCCGCUUGCUGGAUCGGGUUGGACGAAGGUUACAUGAACU
Molecule: long non-coding RNA, 906 nt
Filed under: Phoenix dactylifera (date palm)
Lineage: Eukaryota; Viridiplantae; Streptophyta; Magnoliopsida; Arecales; Arecaceae
Description: long non-coding RNA (PDAC_LNC003375)
Source: RNAcentral